RNAcentral lists this ribosomal RNA (468 nucleotides) under uncultured bacterium. RNAcentral's name for it is "partial 16S ribosomal RNA". It matches the Rfam family "Bacterial small subunit ribosomal RNA", at positions 28 to 507 of the family's 1533-position model. The record is from RNAcentral.
GACGAACGCUGGCGGCGUGCUUAACACAUGCAAGUCGAACGGAAAGGCCCUGCUUUUGUGGGGUGCUCGAGUGGCGAACGGGUGAGUAACACGUGAGUAACCUGCCCUUGACUUUGGGAUAACUUCAGGAAACUGGGGCUAAUACCGGAUAGGAGCUCCUGCUGCAUGGUGGGGGUUGGAAAGUUUCGGCGGUUGGGGAUCGACUCGCGGCUUAUCAGCUUGUUGGUGGGGUAGUGGCUUACCAAGGCUUUGACGGGUAGCCGGCCUGAGAGGGUGACCGGCGACAUUGGGACUGAGAUACGGCCCAGACUCCUACGGGAGGCAGCAGUGGGGAAUAUUGCACAAUGGGCGGAAGCCUGAUGCAGCAACGCCGCGUGCGGGAUGACGGCCUUCGGGUUGUAAACCGCUUUCGCCUGUGACGAAGCGUGAGUGACGGUAAUGGGUAAAGAAGCACCGGCUAACUACGUG